AACCUUUUCUCCCUGGUGGAGGAACCACUUGCAUGAGAAUAAGAGGUUGUUCCCCAGGCCAUCAGACUCCAAACAGUUAUGCAACUGGAGCCUCCUGAGGAUGACCCCUUCUGCCUGGGACCCUUAGAUCAGCCUCUAGAGAAGCUUUGACUGCUGUUUCCCCAAAACAGCACCCCCUGCCAUCAGGAAGCAGUGAGAAUGCUAAAUGAUAGCUGUAUGGAUUAGGUUCAGCUUUUCACAUUGGGAAAAAUGACUGAUGGACCCUCAGAUGAGAGUGUUGCUACCAUGUCAACAUCACAAUAGUUUCCCUCCUCCAAAAAGCACCAAAACAAGCAUGAGCCACAAGAAACUGGGAACAAAAGGAAUCUUUGUUAUUUUAUUCAACAGAAAGCCAUGUUGGUUCACCACAUGUAUCGCAUCCUGAUAAUGUGAAGUGAAAAAGUAGAGCCUGGAAGCCUUUGUAAGAUGACUGUGCCAGAGGAGGAAGAUAAAUAUCUCGAUGCUAUGGAGGCCUGUCAGCUCUUUGAAGUAUCUGGGCAAUAUCAAGAUUUCUACUUCAGAUGAAAAAACAAAUAGUUAUUCAUUGACCCUGUUGCCGCCAAGAAAGAGGUGAAAGGUGAACCCCCAACCCACGGAAAGAUCCAGCCAAGUAAGGAACUGCAAAAUAUUGAAUGACUAAUUCUCCAAACAAGGAGAACAAGAAGAUUUAUACUAGCCAUGCAAGGAAUCUUUGGAAGUCUAACAGACCUGACUUGAAGAGAAGGCUUUAAACAAGAAAUUCUUCAUUCUGGAACAGUGAUUCUUAAAGUGCGGUUCAGAGACCCUGGGAGACACUGACAUUCUUUCAGAGUGUGAGUGAGGAUUUCCUCUUUGCAACUACAAUCUGUGUAAGGUUGGAUUUUCUUUACAUACAUAAACUAAAAUAAGAUUGCAAUAAGAUGAAUGCAGAAGCAGAUAAGAGAAUCCAGCUGUCUUAAGUUAGACUUCACAGAGAUUUGCAAAAAUCCAAACAAGACCACUCUCGUCAUUAAAGUUAUUUUCCAUUUGUUAUGGUGAACUUAUUUUGCAGGAAAUUUGUUAUUUAUAGUAACAUACAAUUUUGUUUUUUGAUCAUUUUAAAUAAAUUAAUAAAUAUUAUAAGUUUUCUAUUUUUAAAAUUAUACAUGUCAGAAAAGAACAGUUCUUUCAGGUCCUCAACAAUUUUAAGACUAUUAACUUGUUUUGGAUCAAAAAGUUCUAGAUUUGCUAUUCUAGACAUGAAUCCUUUGAAAUUAAUUGGCUUCAUAAGUAUAUUUUUCAAGUUUGUGGCUUGUCCUGUAACCUUCUACUGUGUAGAAGUUUUAAAUUUUAAUUUAAAGAAAUUUAAAAUUUUUUCAUUUUUGUUUGUGCUUUUGGUGUCAUAUUUAGGAAAUCCUUCUCUACCUUGAGUUCAUGAAAAUAUCCUCUUAUAUUUAGUAUUUACAGUUUGUUCUUCAUCUUUAGGUCUAUAAUUUAUUGAAAAUAUAGUUUUGUAUGUGAUGUAAGCUAAAGAUAUUUUUUAAAACUUGAUAUGGAUAACACAUUUUGGCAAUAUUAUUCAUCCACUCAUUCUCCCACUGACUUUCCCUCUGCCACUUACUUACCUACAUAAGAAUUUGUCGUGGAGAUUCUCUUUUCUAUUCUUUUAGUCUAAUGGCUUAAUUGUUGAUCAAUUACCCUUUUUAACUAUUGAUGCUUUAGAGUAAGUCUUGAUAUAAAGCCAUGUAAGUCCCUUGAAUUAGUCUCCCACUUUUCCUUCUUAAAAACAUUCUGGGAUCUUCUUGGCCUUUAACUCCUCUGACUUAAUUUUAGGAUCAAUUUCUCAGAUUACAUUAACAACCUGUUCAAAUUGCAUAGAUUUUAUAGGUAAAUCUGUAUAAAAUUUACAUGUUAUAAUAUUGGGGCUUUUUAUUCAUAAACAUUUUCACCAACGUUUUAGUUUCAUAUCUUCCAAUAAGAUUUUAUAAUUUUUCAUACCUAUCUUAGAUGAUUUUGGUUGCAUUUAUUUUUUAUAGUUUUAGUUUUAUUGUCAAUGCAGCUUUUUCCAAUUCAAUUUUAUAACAGUUUUGCUGGUUAAAAAAAAAAAAAAGACUAUUUAUUUUGUGUAUUGGUUUUUAAAUUGUACAAUGUUUCUGAAUUUUCUUACUUCCAAACAGUCGUCUAUAAAUUAUCUUGAUUGUCUAAAAUGUGAAAUUCAUAUACUAUGAGAAUGAUAAUUUUAUUUUUUCAUUUUCAAUUCUUAAACUUCUGAUGACACUUGGCUGGAACCUCCUUCACUAGGUUGAAAAUAAGUGGCAACAGUGGUAUCCUUGUUCUGUUAUUGAUUCCAAGAGCCUGCCUCUAAUGUUUCCCCAUGUAUUAUGAUGUUUGUGUAAAUUUUGAUAGACCUUAUUUAUUAAGUAAAAAGAUUCUCUUCUAGUUCAAGUUUGGUCUACAAGUUUUUAUUGUGAAAGUGAACUGAAUUUUAGAAAUACCUUUUAAUGUGUAUAAAAAAUUAUAUCUUUAUUUCUGUUAAUGUGAUAAAUUACAUUAAGAGAUUUUAUUAAUAUUUGGUUAUCUUUGUAUUUCAACAAUUAUUUGGUUAUCUUUGUAUUUCAACAAUUAUAGUCAUAUUAUUAAAUAUUAAUUUGGUUAGCUAA
RNAcentral lists this long non-coding RNA (2657 nucleotides) under Homo sapiens (human). RNAcentral describes it as "PREDICTED lncRNA (TCONS_00235565)". The record is from RNAcentral. Lineage: Eukaryota; Metazoa; Chordata; Mammalia; Primates; Hominidae.